GUGGGGAAUUUUGGACAAUGGGCGCAAGCCUGAUCCAGCCAUUCCGCGUGCAGGAUGAAGGCCUUCGGGUUGUAAACUGCUUUUGUACGGAACGAAAAGGUUCUCUCUAAUACAGGGGGCUGAUGACGGUACCGUAAGAAUAAGCACCGGCUAACUACGUGCCAGCAGCCGCGGUAAUACGUAGGGUGCAAGCGUUAAUCGGAAUUACUGGGCGUAAAGCGUGCGCAGGCGGUGAUGUAAGACAGAUGUGAAAUCCCCGGGCUCAACCUGGGAACUGCAUUUGUGACUGCAUUGCUGGAGUGCGGCAGAGGGGGAUGGAAUUCCGCGUGUAGCAGUGAAAUGCGUAGAUAUGCGGAGGAACACCGAUGGCGAAGGCAAUCCCCUGGGCCUGCACUGACGCUCAUGCACGAAAGCGUGGGGAGCAAACAAGAUUAGAUACCCUGGUAGUCC
Molecule: ribosomal RNA, 450 nt
Filed under: uncultured bacterium
Lineage: Bacteria
Description: partial 16S ribosomal RNA
Rfam family: Bacterial small subunit ribosomal RNA
Source: RNAcentral